ACACAUGCAGUCGAGCGGUAGAGAGAAGCUUGCUUCUCUUGAGAGCGGCGGACGGGUGAGUAAUACCUAGGAAUCUGCCUGAUAGUGGGGGAUAACGUUCGGAAACGGGCGCUAAUACCGCAUACGUCCUACGGGAGAAAGCAGGGGACCUUCGGGCCUUGCGCUAUCAGAUGAGCCUAGGUCGGAUUAGCUAGUUGGUGAGGUAAUGGCUCACCAAGGCUACGAUCCGUAACUGGUCUGAGAGGAUGAUCAGUCACACUGGAACUGAGACACGGUCCAGACUCCUACGGGAGGCAGCAGUGGGGAAUAUUGGACAAUGGGCGAAAGCCUGAUCCAGCCAUGCCGCGUGUGUAAAGAAGGUCUUCGGAUUGUAAAGCACUUUAAGUUGGGGGGAAGGGCAGUUACCUAAUACGUGAUUGUCUUGACGUUACCGACAGAAUAAGCACCGGCUAACUCUGUGCCAGCAGCCGCGGUAAUACAGAGGGUGCAAGCGUUAAUCGAAAUUACUGGGCGUAAAGCGCGCGUAGGUGGUUUGUUAAGUUGAAUGUGAAAUCCCCGGGCUCAACCUGGGAACUGCAUCCAAAACUGGCAAGCUAGAGUAUGGUAGAGGGUAGUGGAAUUUCCUGUGUAGCGGUGAAAUGCGUAGAUAUAGGAAGGAACACCAGUGGCGAAAGCGACUACCUGGACUGAUACUGACACUGAGGUGCGAAAGCGUGGGGAGCAAACAGGA
RNAcentral lists this ribosomal RNA (730 nucleotides) under uncultured bacterium. RNAcentral describes it as "bacterial SSU rRNA". It matches the Rfam family "Bacterial small subunit ribosomal RNA", at positions 51 to 777 of the family's 1533-position model. The record is from RNAcentral.